GACGAACGCUGGCGGCGUGCUUAACACAUGCCAGUCGAACGGAAAGGCCCUGCUUUUGUGGGGUGCUCGAGUGGCGAACGGGUGAGUAACACGUGAGUAACCUGCCCUUGACUUUGGGAUAACUUCAGGAAACUGGGGUUAAUACCGGAUAGGAGCUCCUGCUGCAUGGUGGGGGUUGGAAAGUUUCGGCGGUUGGGGAUGGACUCGCGGCGUAUCAGCUUGUUGGUGGGGUAGUGGCUUACCAAGGCUUUGACGGGUAGUCGGCCUGAGAGGGUGACCGGCCACAUUGGGUCUGAGAUACGGCCCAGACUCCUACGGGAGGCAGCAGUGGGGAAUAUUGCACAAUGGGCGGAAGCCUGAUGCAGCAACGCCGCGUGCGGGAUGACGGCCUUCGGGUUGUAAACCGCUUUCGCCUGUGACGAAGCGUGAGUGACGGUAAUGGGUAAAGAAGCACCGGCUAACUACGUG
RNAcentral lists this ribosomal RNA (468 nucleotides) under uncultured bacterium. RNAcentral describes it as "partial 16S ribosomal RNA". It matches the Rfam family "Bacterial small subunit ribosomal RNA", at positions 28 to 507 of the family's 1533-position model. The record is from RNAcentral.